UACGUAGGGUGCGAGCGUUAAUCGGAAUUACUGGGCGUAAAGCGUGCGCAGGCGGCGCGUUAAGACAGGUGUGAAAGCCCCGAGCUUAACUUGGGAAUUGCGCUUGUGACUGGCGUGCUGGAGUGUGGCAGAGGGAGGUGGAAUUCCACGUGUAGCAGUGAAAUGCGUAGAGAUCCGGAAGAACACCGGAGGCGAAGGCGGCUUGCUGGGCCAGUUCUGACGCUGAGGAGCGAAAGCGUGGGGAGCGAACAGG
This 253-nucleotide ribosomal RNA is filed under the name uncultured bacterium. RNAcentral's name for it is "partial 16S ribosomal RNA". It matches the Rfam family "Bacterial small subunit ribosomal RNA", at positions 524 to 776 of the family's 1533-position model. The record is from RNAcentral.